GAUGAACGCUGGCGGCGUGCUUAACACAUGCAAGUCGAACGAAGCAUUUAAGACAGAUUACUUCGGUUUGAAGUCUUUUAUGACUGAGUGGCGGACGGGUGAGUAACGCGUGGGUAACCUGCCUCAUACAGGGGGAUAGCAGCUGGAAACGGCUGGUAAUACCGCAUAAGCGCACAGUACCACAUGGUACAGUGUGAAAAACUCCGGUGGUAUGAGAUGGACCCGCGUCUGAUUAGCUUGCUGGCGGGGUAACGGCCCACCAAGGCGACGAUCAGUAGCCGACCUGAGAGGGUGACCGGCCACAUUGGGACUGAGACACGGCCCAGACUCCUACGGGAGGCAGCAGUGGGGAAUAUUGCACAAUGGAGGAAACUCUGAUGCAGCGACGCCGCGUGAGUGAAGAAGUAGUUCGCUAUGUAAAGCUCUAUCAGCAGGGAAGAUAGUGACGGUACCUGACUAAGAAGCUCCGGCUAAAUACGUG
This 481-nucleotide ribosomal RNA is filed under the name uncultured bacterium. RNAcentral's name for it is "partial 16S ribosomal RNA". It matches the Rfam family "Bacterial small subunit ribosomal RNA", at positions 28 to 507 of the family's 1533-position model. The record is from RNAcentral.